The sequence is a transfer RNA, 88 nucleotides long. It matches the Rfam family "tRNA". From Rfam's summary of the family: Transfer RNA (tRNA) molecules are approximately 80 nucleotides in length. Their secondary structure includes four short double-helical elements and three loops (D, anti-codon, and T loops). The record is from Rfam.
AGCAACAUGGCGCAGGGGUAGCGCGCGGGGCUCAUAUGAUCGAUCAAUCGAAACCCCGAGGUCACUGGAUCGAAACCAGUUGUUGCUA